ACCAUCUAUCGAAGUUGGGUCCUAUAAAUUACUAUCAAACAGUGAAUGGAGCAACAGACAUCUAGCCAUAACUAAAAGAAAAAUAUAAGACCUCUAUGUUUAUGAAUUGAUUAAGCCUAAAGAAUUGGACUUUAGUCUAAAAGUUCUCCCAUUAUUUUGGUCGAAUUGGUAGCCUCUACCUCCAAUCCGAAGAAUUACUCUAAUUCCUUA
This 210-nucleotide long non-coding RNA is filed under the name Elaeis guineensis (African oil palm). Its description in RNAcentral is "long non-coding RNA (EGUI_LNC042925)". The record is from RNAcentral. Lineage: Eukaryota; Viridiplantae; Streptophyta; Magnoliopsida; Arecales; Arecaceae.